CAGUCGCCGCGGUAAUACGGAGGGAGCUAGCGUUGUUCGGAAUUACUGGGCGUAAAGCGCGCGUAGGCGGUUACUCAAGUCAGAGGUGAAAGCCCGGGGCUCAACCCCGGAACUGCCUUUGAAACUAGGUGACUAGAAUCUUGGAGAGGUCAGUGGAAUUCCGAGUGUAGAGGUGAAAUUCGUAGAUAUUCGGAAGAACACCAGUGGCGAAGGCGACUGACUGGACAAGUAUUGACGCUGAGGUGCGAAAGCGUGGGGAGCAAACAGGAUUAGAUACCCCAGUAGUCCCUGUCUCUUAUAA
Molecule: ribosomal RNA, 301 nt
Filed under: uncultured bacterium
Lineage: Bacteria
Description: partial 16S ribosomal RNA
Rfam family: Bacterial small subunit ribosomal RNA
Source: RNAcentral